This 383-nucleotide ribosomal RNA is filed under the name uncultured bacterium. Its description in RNAcentral is "bacterial SSU rRNA". It matches the Rfam family "Bacterial small subunit ribosomal RNA", at positions 28 to 412 of the family's 1533-position model. The record is from RNAcentral.
GACGAACGCUGGCGGCGUGCUUAACACAUGCAAGUCGAGCGGUAAGGCCCUUUCGGGGGUACACGAGCGGCGAACGGGUGAGUAACACGUGGGUGACCUGCCCUCAGCUCUGGGAUAAGCCCGGGAAACUGGGUCUAAUACCGGAUAUGACUCCAUGACGCAUGUUGUGGGGUGGAAAGCCUUGUGCGGCUGAGGAUGGGCCCGCGGCCUAUCAGCUUGUUGGUGGGGUGANGGCCUACCAAGGCGACGACGGGUAGCCGGCCUGAGAGGGCGACCGGCCACACUGGGACUGAGACACGGCCCAGACUCCUACGGGAGGCAGCAGUGGGGAAUAUUGCGCAAUGGGCGAAAGCCUGACGCAGCGACGCCGCGUGGGUGAUGAA